RNAcentral lists this non-coding RNA (46 nucleotides) under Schistosoma margrebowiei. Lineage: Eukaryota; Metazoa; Platyhelminthes; Trematoda; Strigeidida; Schistosomatidae. The record is from RNAcentral.
GCGCUGUUGAAGAGUCCCACAAUAGAACGAAACGACUGUCCAGUGC